GUAGGUGAACCUGCGGAAGGAUCAUUAUUGAAUAAACUUGGUUAGGUUGUUGCUGGCUCUUAGGAGCAUGUGCACGCCGACUCCAUUUUUAACCACCUGUGCACCUUGCGUAGAUCUGAUACUCUCGAGGAAACUCGGUUUGAGAAUUGCUGUGCAACAAAAGGCCAGCUCUUCUUGUAUUCAGGUCUAUGUUUCUACAUACCCCACAUGAAUGUAUUUUGAAUGUCGUCAUUGGCCUUGUGCCUUUAAAAACAAAUACAACUUUCAACAACGGAUCUCUUGGCUCUC
RNAcentral lists this unclassified non-coding RNA (288 nucleotides) under rhizosphere metagenome. Its description in RNAcentral is "partial ribosomal RNA internal transcribed spacer region". The record is from RNAcentral.